RNAcentral lists this ribosomal RNA (253 nucleotides) under uncultured bacterium. RNAcentral describes it as "partial 16S ribosomal RNA". It matches the Rfam family "Bacterial small subunit ribosomal RNA", at positions 524 to 776 of the family's 1533-position model. The record is from RNAcentral.
UACGUAGGUGGCAAGCGUUGUCCGGAUUUAUUGGGCGUAAAGCGAGCGCAGGCGGUUCCUUAAGUCUGAUGUGAAAGCCCCCGGUGCAACCGGGGAAGGUCAUUGGAAACUGGGGAACUUGAGUGCAGAAGAGGAGAGUGGAAUUCCAUGUGUAGCGGUGAAAUGCGCAGAGAUAUGGAGGAACACCAGUGGCGAAGGCGACUUUCUGGACUGUAACUGACACUGAGGCACGAAAGCGUGGGUAGCAAACAGG